AAGUCGUAACAAGGUUUCCGUAGGUGAACCUGCGGAAGGAUCAUUAAAAGAUUUUUGGUAUAAUUUUUUGGGGUCAAUUGAUCUCAAAAAAUAAUUCACCUUUUGUGCAUUGUUAUUAAGAUAUACUUUGGUUAGAGCUUUGACAUUAAGUCAACUUCUUGCUAACUCUAUCCUUUAAAGGACAGUUGGCUAUGAAGCGUGCCUACCAAGGUUUUUAAAUCAAACUCUUUGUAUUUUGUCUGACCUAAAUAAAUAAUAAUUAAAUCAUAACUUUCAACAACGGAUCUCUUGGCUCUC
RNAcentral lists this unclassified non-coding RNA (297 nucleotides) under fungal sp. Its description in RNAcentral is "partial internal transcribed spacer region". The stretch from base 1 to 46 matches the Rfam family "Eukaryotic small subunit ribosomal RNA", at positions 1786 to 1831 of the family's 1831-position model. The record is from RNAcentral. Lineage: Eukaryota; Fungi.